RNAcentral lists this ribosomal RNA (497 nucleotides) under uncultured bacterium. RNAcentral describes it as "partial 16S ribosomal RNA". It matches the Rfam family "Bacterial small subunit ribosomal RNA", at positions 28 to 507 of the family's 1533-position model. The record is from RNAcentral.
GACGAACGCUGGCGGCGUGCCUAAUACAUGCAAGUUGAGCGCUGAAGGUUGGUACUUGUACCGACUGGAUGAGCAGCGAACGGGUGAGUAACGCGUGGGGAAUCUGCCUUUGAGCGGGGGACAACAUUUGGAAACGAAUGCUAAUACCGCAUAAAAACUUUAAACACAAGUUUUAAGUUUGAAAGAUGCAAUUGCAUCACUCAAAGAUGAUCCCGCGUUGUAUUAGCUAGUUGGUGAGGUAAAGGCUCACCAAGGCGAUGAUACAUAGCCGACCUGAGAGGGUGAUCGGCCACAUUGGGACUGAGACACGGCCCAAACUCCUACGGGAGGCAGCAGUAGGGAAUCUUCGGCAAUGGACGAAAGUCCGACCGAGCAACGCCGCGUGAGUGAAGAAGGUUGUCGGAUCGUAAAACUCUGUUGGUAGAGAAGAACGUUGGUGAGAGUGGAAAGCUCAUCAAGUGACGGUAACUACCCAGAAAGGGACGGCUAACUACGUG